GAUGAACGCUGGCGGCGUGCCUAAUACAUGCAAGUCGAGCGAACAGAUGAGGAGCUUGUUCCUCUGACGUUAGCGGCGGACGGGUGAGUAACACGUGGAUAACCUACCUAUAAGACUGGGAUAACUUCGGGAAACCGGAGCUAAUACCGGAUAAUAUAUUGAACCGCAUGGUUCAAUAGUGAAAGACGGUUUUGCUGUCACUUAUAGAUGGAUCCGCGCCGCAUUAGCUAGUUGGUAAGGUAACGGCUUACCAAGGCAACGAUGCGUAGCCGACCUGAGAGGGUGAUCGGCCACACUGGAACUGAGACACGGUCCAGACUCCUACGGGAGGCAGCAGUAGGGAAUCUUCCGCAAUGGGCGAAAGCCUGACGGAGCAACGCCGCGUGAGUGAUGAAGGUCUUCGGAUCGUAAAACUCUGUUAUUAGGGAAGAACAAAUGUGCAAGUAACUAUGCACGUCUUGACGGUACCUAAUCAGAAAGCCACGGCUAACUACGUG
Molecule: ribosomal RNA, 497 nt
Filed under: uncultured bacterium
Lineage: Bacteria
Description: partial 16S ribosomal RNA
Rfam family: Bacterial small subunit ribosomal RNA
Source: RNAcentral